GUAAGGAAUAUUGGUCAAUGGACGCAAGUCUGAACCAGCCAUGCCGCGUGCAGGAAGACGGCCCUACGGGUUGUAAACUGCUUUUGUACCGGAAUAAACCUUUGGUCGUGACCGAAGCUGAAUGUACGGUAAGAAUAAGGAUCGGCUAACUCCGUGCCAGCAGCCGCGGUAAUACGGAGGAUCCAAGCGUUAUCCGGAUUUAUUGGGUUUAAAGGGUGCGUAGGCGGCCUAUUAAGUCAGGGGUGAAAGACGGUAGCUUAACUAUCGCAGUGCCUUUGAUACUGAUGGGCUUGAAUGUACUUGAGGUAGGCGGAAUGUGACAAGUAGCGGUGAAAUGCAUAGAUAUGUCACAGAACACCAAUUGCGAAGGCAGCUUACUAAAGUAUGAUUGACGCUGAGGCACGAAAGCGUGGGGAUCAAACAGG
This 425-nucleotide ribosomal RNA is filed under the name uncultured Mucilaginibacter sp. Its description in RNAcentral is "bacterial SSU rRNA". It matches the Rfam family "Bacterial small subunit ribosomal RNA", at positions 354 to 776 of the family's 1533-position model. Lineage: Bacteria; Pseudomonadati; Bacteroidota; Sphingobacteriia; Sphingobacteriales; Sphingobacteriaceae. The record is from RNAcentral.